Molecule: long non-coding RNA, 2513 nt
Organism: Ahaetulla prasina
Lineage: Eukaryota; Metazoa; Chordata; Lepidosauria; Squamata; Colubridae
Exons: 5
Source: RefSeq, a predicted model, not a curated record
CAGCUGAGAGGAUGUAAACACUGGGGCACGUGACCCUAUCUCUGGGAGGGAGGCGGAGUCGAUCUAUCCUUCCUUUGGACUGGACGCUUGGUUGUUGCGUCAGCUCUGCAAGCGGAGAGACUCCGCCCCGCAACUCCACGACCAAUGAAGAUACAAGAGUGUUGCGUCAAAAAAAAAAAAGAUAACGUCAAUAAAGCAGCCAAUAACAGUUGGAGAUUUUUAGGCUUUGUGUUUUUUACUUAGUCUGUCAAAAGAGCAGCUCUUCGAACGAAGAUAGGGAGCGAUAACUUGUGAAUGGAAGCUGUUCGUUUCGAAAAUAGAAAAUGUGAUCCAGUAGGCAUUAUUAAAUUUAGCGUUAAGUAUCCUAGUAUCAGAAAAAAAAAUUUAUAAUAUGAAAACAAGGAUGGGGAGGGGAAUCCAGCGUUCUGUUGAAACAGAAUUAAGAAAGGCUGAGUAAAAUAAUUACCCUUGCAAAAUAAAGUUUCUUUGACAAUUUCAGCUGUUAAAAAUCUCUACUCUCUGAAGAUCGAGAAAUUGUUUAUCCUUAUUUAGAUAUGAUUAAAUGCUAUUUUGUCAGGAAUCUCAUUUAAUGCACAAUGAUCCUGCAAUUUUAAAAUCUUACUUAGACCUCGACGGUCAUAUCAAAUUGCUUCUAGGAUGACCCAGUCCAAUAAGUAUGUAGAUGAAAAUGUCAGCCAGUACAACAUCUGCAAAAGAAAGUUCUGUUUCUCUGAAAGAGGAUAGCUCAUCAAAGCAAAUUAACCCAGAAAAAGGAAAGGAAAAAAAAAAGAAAGAAAGAAAGAAUGGGAAGACAGAGGAAGGGAAGAAUCACAGCUCAUAUUACAGAACAUCAAAUACAAAGAAGGCAAAUAAAUAUAAAGGUACAACUUGAGCAAAAAUCCAAACACAGAUAAAUUAACUGAAAGCCAUAGUAAAUAAUAAUAGAUUAAAAAGAGAUUGCUUAAUUUAAUUUAAAUAAAAUAUAGAAUUACUUUCUUAAAAUAUUUAGUACGUUACUUCUUACUUUUUGUCAUGGGUGAAUGCCUUUGUAUGCCUUAAACUGGCGUCAGCAAAUGUCUUAUAACAAACAAACAAACCAACAAGUACAAUAAUUUAAUAGCAAUUUGGUGUUCUAAUUUAUAUUAGCACAUACUGUAGCUUUGUCAAAUUGUUUUCUUUAAAAAAUAAGCACAGCUUCUAAGAACAUACACCUCUCCUGUCUAAACUAAGGUCUGAGGGCCAAGCCAGUCCCUCCACACACAAACAGCAAGCCCACCUAAUGCCAAAGAGCAAUCACAGCAUAUGAAAAUUGGAGAAUGACUGAGAGGCAAUCUGUGGAUAGAAACACUAUAUGUAUGAAUGAAGGCUCUGAGCAGGGCCAUACCAAGUUGAGAUAUAAUGUUGGCAAAUAAAACUAAUCAUGGUUAUUGUAGCACCGAAAAAUUAAAGCCUAUGCUGUAGCCAUUAUACACUUUCCACUGAGGCACAUAUGCAAAUGAGAUAUGUACGGAUGGGUAAAGGCAGUUCAGCUGGUGGCUUGUAUUUUCUUUUUUCUUUUUUAAAAAUUAAUGUUAACUUUCUGGAGGGAGGGGGGAUUAUUAUUAUUAUCCAACAUCCCUAAAGUAGAUGUUGGAUUUUUGUUCAAGAGCAGUUACAACACAGGAACUGAAUAGAGAUUAUGAAAGGGCUCACCUUGGAUAAAUGUGAACGUGUUUCUGAAUGAGGGCUUACAGACUGCAACAUUUGAAGAUCUCCUUUGCCAUCAUUAGUGGAAACUAAAACUUGCUGCCACCUGAUUUGAAGUUAUACAAGACUCCAGUAUGUACACGAAUCACUUCUGGAUGUUCUCUAUUUUUUUCGGUGUAAAAAUCAGUUUUCUCAACUAAGCCACUCCUAAAAUUUACUACCAGUCGAUGUUGACUGGUAGUCAACAUCGGCUGAUUCAUUGAACACUACUUAUCAUUGAAUGAUAAGUAUUGUUCAAUGUCCUUGCUUUGUGAUAUGUACAAAAUCAUCAACUUGGGAAGCACUUUUCCAAUAUGAAAUUAUAUUGAUAGUGGUAAACAGAACAAUGUUCCCCCCCCCAGCUUCUGUACUUUGAAUCUAUCUUAUUUGAACGAUUAAACAGUUUGAUCUUCCUUCAUGAAUGAACAUGAAAUUGGGACAAUGAGAAAGUAUCCUUCAAUCAAUCCAGUCUUCUCUCUGAAUGGUUUCAAACAAUUGUUUCAUGUAGGCUAAGGCUGUAGCUGGAUCCAGUGGUUUGCUGAUUGCUAUAUUUCAUUAUUGCUACAAAAAUUCUUGAACUCUUACUGCAUGCAGUGCUCAAGGUGAUUAGCCACUAGAGGGCACCAUUCACCUUGGUAUCACUGGGUCUUUGCCUCUCAUGCUAUUUGCAAACCCAUUUCUUAUUUCAUUAAAAAAAAUUGUUAUAAAAAGCAGGAUGUGGUGAAAAUAAACUAGAAUCACAGUUCUGUUACUUUGUUUCUUUCAUAGUAUUUUUUUUUCUUCCUGUA